RNAcentral lists this ribosomal RNA (432 nucleotides) under uncultured bacterium. RNAcentral describes it as "partial 16S ribosomal RNA". It matches the Rfam family "Bacterial small subunit ribosomal RNA", at positions 29 to 507 of the family's 1533-position model. The record is from RNAcentral.
AACGAACGCUGGCGGCAUGCCUAACACAUGCAAGUCGAACGAGACCUUCGGGUCUAGUGGCGCACGGGUGCGUAACGCGUGGGAACCUGCCCUAGGUUCGGAAUAACUCCCCGGAAGGGGUGCUAAUACCGGAUAAUGUCUUCGGACCAAAGAUUUAUCGCCUUUGGAUGGGCCCGCGUUGGAUUAGCUAGUUGGUAGGGUAAAAGCCUACCAAGGCGACGAUCCAUAGCUGGUCUGAGAGGAUGAUCAGCCACACUGGGACUGAGACACGGCCCAGACUCCUACGGGAGGCAGCAGUGGGGAAUAUUGGACAAUGGGCGAAAGCCUGAUCCAGCAAUGCCGCGUGAGUGAUGAAGGCCUUAGGGUUGUAAAGCUCUUUUACCCGGGAUGAUAAUGACAGUACCGGGAGAAUAAGCUCCGGCUAACUCCGUG